This 478-nucleotide ribosomal RNA is filed under the name uncultured bacterium. RNAcentral's name for it is "partial 16S ribosomal RNA". It matches the Rfam family "Bacterial small subunit ribosomal RNA", at positions 28 to 523 of the family's 1533-position model. The record is from RNAcentral.
GAUGAACGCUGGCGGCGUGCUUAACACAUGCAAGUCGAGCGAUGAAGCUCCUUCGGGAGUGGAUUAGCGGCGGACGGGUGAGUAACACGUGGGUAACCUGCCUCAUAGAGGGGAAUAGCCUUCCGAAAGGAAGAUUAAUACCGCAUAAGAUUGUAGUACCGCAUGGUAUAGCAAUUAAAGGAGCAAUCCGCUAUAAGAUGGACCCGCGUCGCAUUAGCUAGUUGGUGAGGUAACGGCUCACCAAGGCGACGAUGCGUAGCCGACCUGAGAGGGUGAUCGGCCACAUUGGGACUGAGACACGGCCCAGACUCCUACGGGAGGCAGCAGUGGGGAAUAUUGCACAAUGGGGGAAACCCUGAUGCAGCAACGCCGCGUGAGUGAUGACGGUCUUCGGAUCGUAAAGCUCUGUCUUCAGGGACGAUAAUGACGGUACCUGAGGAGGAAGCCACGGCUAACUACGUGCCAGCCGCCGCAGUAA